Aplysia californica (California sea hare) is the source of this 1308-nucleotide long non-coding RNA. RefSeq lists it as uncharacterized. NCBI's taxonomy places the organism in Eukaryota, Metazoa, Mollusca, Gastropoda, Aplysiida, Aplysiidae. The transcript is spliced from 2 exons. The record is from RefSeq and is a predicted model, not a curated record.
AGGGGGGAGGAUUACAGUGUUUCAUGUUAUGACUAUCAGUGCACUCACAAAACUGUCAAAAACUGUUGAGUCUCUAGUGAGUGCAUUAAGGUGGUGUGUCAGAUAAUGAGUGUAAAAGACGAUUUUGAAGGAUAAUAUGGAAGAGAGUGAAAAUAGUGGGGCGCUUAGCAAACCUAUUGUGCAUUUUGUGAUACAAGCACCAAAUUUGACACAUAUGUACAUUAGCAUAUUGCAAACAUUUUCAGAUAUUGGGCCACUCGGAUUUCUCUCUUAAUGUCCGCCAUAUUGGAUUUCAAAAUGGCCGCCAAUUGAAAUCUAAAUUUGCUAUUAUCUCUGCAUCAAAUGCUGCUAUUGACUUCAUUUUGGUGUUUAAAUGUAUUUUUUGGGGAGGGGGGGUCAAGGAAUCAAACGGUAACAAUCUGCAUUGCGUUAGAUCAUACCCACUAUGCUAGGUGGAUACCAGUGCACCUGAAGAACAUCGCCGAACUCACUACCAAACACCCAGACGUAGCCGGGAAAUUCAGUGAAGGCCAUUUCAGAGUUGAGAAAACUCAGAGGGUGUUCUCUUCAAUCCCGAUUGACCAGGCACAUUAGCAGAAUAAUGCCUACAUCAAAGGAAACGGCGGCGCAGUUGGGCUCACUGACAAUCCUAAAGCCCUUCGUCGCUGGGUGGUUGCAAGACCAGAAAUUGCUAGGGUGGUCGAAGAAUUCCAGGACGGGAACCAAUACUGGAGACGGCAAACAGCAGACACACGUCACAUGAUCAGACGCCAAGUGUACAGGCCUCAUUUGUGAAAGAUGUUCGCCCUCUCGUCGGUGUCAUAGAGGAGAUGAGCACCCCAUUCGAGGAGGAGAGUCAUACUGGACUCAAAGGACAUCGCAGGUCCUGCUGCCGUGGAGACGGGGAUGAAUACCAAGAGGAUUGACCAAAAACAGUCCGAGGCUUUCACCAGAGAAUGUCUGUUGGACAGAACAAAGGCGGUGGACGACCCCAUUCCUUGUAACAAGCUGAAGGUGUUUAGAUUCUAACACUUCCACUCCCAGAAACAAGAGCAUAUGUUAGCAACAGCUCGCCUCCGUCAAAAAUGAUCGUGAACUCGUCGCACGCCUGUACAUUGGCUGGCAGACGAGGGAUGGAAACCUUGAGGAGUUCUUUCGUCACGACAACCAGGCAUGUCCUCCUGUACUGUCUGCAGGUGGGAACUUCUUCACUUGUACCAAGAAUGAUCUCAUCACAUGCUAGGAAGAAGUCUCCGACCCCAGGAGGAAACUCUUCACAAGGAAGAACGAUGUGCAGCUGAUCCCCCC